RNAcentral lists this ribosomal RNA (788 nucleotides) under Phaeosphaeriopsis agapanthi. Its description in RNAcentral is "LSU rRNA". It matches the Rfam family "Eukaryotic large subunit ribosomal RNA", at positions 132 to 939 of the family's 3401-position model. Lineage: Eukaryota; Fungi; Ascomycota; Dothideomycetes; Pleosporales; Phaeosphaeriaceae. The record is from RNAcentral.
CAGAGUCCGAGUUGUAAUUUGCAGAGGGCGCUUUGGCAUUGGCAGCGGUCCAAGUUCUUUGGAACAGGACGUCACAGAGGGUGAGAAUCCCGUACGUGGUCGCUAGCCUUUGCUGUGUAAAGCCCCUUCGACGAGUCGAGUUGUUUGGGAAUGCAGCUCUAAAUGGGAGGUAAAUUUCUUCUAAAGCUAAAUACUGGCCAGAGACCGAUAGCGCACAAGUAGAGUGAUCGAAAGAUGAAAAGCACUUUGGAAAGAGAGUCAAAUAGCACGUGAAAUUGUUGAAAGGGAAGCGCUUGCAGCCAGACUUGCCUGUAGUUGCUUAUCUGGACUUUUGUCCAGUGCACUCUUCUGCGGGCAGGCCAGCAUCAGUUUGGGCGGUUGGAUAAAGGUCUCUGUCAUGUACCUCUCUUCGGGGAGGCCUUAUAGGGGAGACGACAUGCAACCAGCCUGGACUGAGGUCCGCGCAUUUGCUAGGAUGCUGGCGUAAUGGCUGUAAGCGGCCCGUCUUGAAACACGGACCAAGGAGUCUAACAUCUAUGCGAGUGUUUGGGUGUCAAGCCCAGACGCGUAAUGAAAGUGAACGGAGGUGGGAACCUUUUAGGUGCACCAUCGACCGAUCCUGAUGUCUUCGGAAGGAUUUGAGUAAGAGCAUGGCUGUUGGGACCCGAAAGAUGGUGAACUAUGCUUGAAUAGGGUGAAGCCAGAGGAAACUCUGGUGGAGGCUCGCAGCGGUUCUGACGUGCAAAUCGAUCGUCAAAUUUGGGCAUAGGGGCGAAAGACUAAUCGAA